UAACAAGACUUUCCCCUGCCUUAUGCCU
RNAcentral lists this non-coding RNA (28 nucleotides) under Rattus norvegicus (Norway rat). Lineage: Eukaryota; Metazoa; Chordata; Mammalia; Rodentia; Muridae. The record is from RNAcentral.